RNAcentral lists this small RNA (139 nucleotides) under unclassified sequences. Its description in RNAcentral is "LOOT RNA". It matches the Rfam family "LOOT RNA". From Rfam's summary of the family: Latescibacteria, OD1/Parcubacteria, OP11, TM7. Lineage (Microgenomates, aka OP11) The record is from Rfam by way of RNAcentral.
GGCCUAAACCGACUUAAGAAUCCUCGUGAUUCUACCGGCAUGGCCGAAAACCCCGCUAGAGAGCAAGGACCUCCCGGUCCUAGUCACUCUAGCGGGUCAUAUCGGGAAACCGGUAUGGGCCUGGCCGCAAGGUCGGGUC